AGGACGAACGCUGGCGGCGUGCUUAACACAUGCAAGUCGAGCGGUAAGGCCUUUCGGGGUACACGAGCGGCGAACGGGUGAGUAACACGUGGGUGAUCUGCCCUGCACUUCGGGAUAAGCCUGGGAAACUGGGUCUAAUACCGGAUAUGACCUCAGGUUGCAUGACUUGGGGUGGAAAGAUUUAUCGGUGCAGGAUGGGCCCGCGGCCUAUCAGCUUGUUGGUGGGUAAUGGCCUACCAAGGCGACGACGGGUAGCCGACCUGAGAGGGUGACCGGCCACACUGGGACUGAGACACGGCCCAGACUCCUACGGGAGGCAGGCAGUGGGGAAUAUUGCACAAUGGGCGAAAGCCUGAUGCAGCGACGCCGCGUGAGGGAUGACGGCCUUCGGGUUGUAAACCUCUUUCAGUCGAGGACGAAGCGCAAGUGACGGUACUGCAGAAGAGCACGCUAACACGUGCCAGCAGCCGC
Molecule: ribosomal RNA, 471 nt
Filed under: uncultured soil bacterium
Lineage: Bacteria
Description: bacterial SSU rRNA
Rfam family: Bacterial small subunit ribosomal RNA
Source: RNAcentral